This 658-nucleotide long non-coding RNA is filed under the name Mytilus galloprovincialis (Mediterranean mussel). Lineage: Eukaryota; Metazoa; Mollusca; Bivalvia; Mytilida; Mytilidae. The record is from RNAcentral.
AGGGGAAGGUUAAGAUCUUACAAAACAUGUUUAAUCCAGCCGUAUUUUGCGCCUGUCCCAAGCAAGGAGCCUCUUGCCUGUGCUAGUCUUGUAAAUGUUUUUAAUUUUAGUUCAUCUAAAAGUUUUGUAGUUUAGUGUGACGUGCAUCUUCACUAAACUAAUACACAUUUUGUUUAGCGACCAGCUGAAGAACGCCUCCGGGUGCAGGAGUGUCUUGUUGUGUUGUCCUCGGUGGUCCUCAGCUGUCUUUUGUCACAUUCCCCAUUUCCAUUAUCAAUUUUAUUUUAAGGAGUUUUCUAUGUUUUUCCUCGAGUUCGUUUUUUUUUUUUUUUUUUUUUUUACUCUUUUCAGACAAAGUAUACAAUUAUAGAUGAAUUUGCUAUUAUAUACUUGUCUUUUAAACCAUUUUCGUCAUAUAGUUCUUCAUCUGUUUUGGUUUUUACAUUCUAGGAUUUCGAGUAUUUGACCCUCAGUGUUCCUGUUCGAUGAAUAUAUUCCCAGAAAAAAGCUUUGGAUGUAUGCAUUUUAUGAAGUAUAUUUUUAGUUUUCAUAGCACUUGGUUGAUACCUCUGCUCGGGUGAUUUCCUACCGGGUAUAUAUAAAUUGAAACUAAACACUUUUUAUUUCAUUUCCUCAAAAGUUUACCUGCUGUUCUUAA